This 154-nucleotide ribosomal RNA is filed under the name uncultured Clostridium sp. RNAcentral describes it as "partial 16S ribosomal RNA". It matches the Rfam family "Bacterial small subunit ribosomal RNA", at positions 357 to 531 of the family's 1533-position model. Lineage: Bacteria; Bacillati; Bacillota; Clostridia; Eubacteriales; Clostridiaceae. The record is from RNAcentral.
GGGCAUUGCGCAUGGGCGAAGCCUGACCGCAACGCCGCGUGCGUGAUGAAGGCCUUCGGGUUGUAAAACUCUUUGGACAGGGACGAAGAAAGUGACGGUACCUGUCGAACAAGCCACGGCUAACUACGUGCCAGCAGCCGCGGUAAUACAAAUA